CCUGGUGGCUCAGAUGGUACAGAAUCUGCCUGCAAUGCAGGAGACCCAGGUUCAAUCCCUGGGUCAGGA
RNAcentral lists this transfer RNA (69 nucleotides) under Ovis aries (sheep). It matches the Rfam family "tRNA". From Rfam's summary of the family: Transfer RNA (tRNA) molecules are approximately 80 nucleotides in length. The record is from Rfam by way of RNAcentral. Lineage: Eukaryota; Metazoa; Chordata; Mammalia; Artiodactyla; Bovidae.